AACGAACGCUGGCGGCAUGCCUAACACAUGCAAGUCGAACGGGAUCCUAGCUUGCUAGGUGAGAGUGGCGGACGGGUGAGUAACACGUGGGAAUCUGCCUUUUGGUUCGGGAUAACCGCGGGAAACUGCGGCUAAUACCGAAUGCCCUCGAGAGAGGAAAGAUUUUAUCGCCAGAAGAGGAGCCCGCGUCCGAUUAGGUAGUUGGUGGGGUAAAGGCCUACCAAGCCGACGAUCGGUAGCUGGUCUGAGAGGAUGAUCAGCCACACUGGGACUGAGAUACGGCCCAGACUCCUACGGGAGGCAGCAGUGGGGAAUAUUGGACAAU
Molecule: ribosomal RNA, 325 nt
Filed under: uncultured bacterium
Lineage: Bacteria
Description: bacterial SSU rRNA
Rfam family: Bacterial small subunit ribosomal RNA
Source: RNAcentral